GCUGGGCGUGGUGGCUCACGCCUGUAAUCCCAGCACUUUGGGAGGCUGAGAGGGGUGGUUCACUUGAGGUCAGGAGUUUGAGACCAGCCUGGCCAACAUGGUGAAACCCCAUCUCUA
This 117-nucleotide non-coding RNA is filed under the name Pan troglodytes (chimpanzee). Lineage: Eukaryota; Metazoa; Chordata; Mammalia; Primates; Hominidae. The record is from Rfam by way of RNAcentral.